CUUUUGUUUUUUUUUUUUUUUAAGGGGAAGGGCCCAGUCUUGGAACCGAUGUACCAAGUACCAACUGGGUCUGGGCUAACUCCAGUUUGUGUAUGAUUCAAUCUGUAAAAAUGUAGGGACAUUACAUGUCCAUCAUAGUUGCAAAGAAAUAAGCUAAUUCUAGCCUAUUAACUGAGCAAAUAUAAUUUGAAAACCAUAGAUGAAAGAAGAUAAAUUUGUAUCAUAAAUUAGCAGAAAAAUCCAACUCAAAAUUUAGUAUUUUAUAAGUGAACCACUAUACUACUAUUUGAACAACAAUACCAUUGCCUAGAUAUGAAACGCAAAUUUUGUAUCCAUAUAAUGCUCAAUUGAGUACCGUAUGGACAAUGGAGCUAUUUUGGAUUGCGCCAAAUAUUAAUUCUACUUGACUGAACUUUAAUAACUAAACGUGCUAGUGCAUUGUGUGCUUAUAAAUCUCAAUGGCUG
This 465-nucleotide unclassified non-coding RNA is filed under the name Hevea brasiliensis (rubber tree). The record is from RNAcentral. Lineage: Eukaryota; Viridiplantae; Streptophyta; Magnoliopsida; Malpighiales; Euphorbiaceae.